GCCAGGCAUGGUGGCGCGUGCCUGUAGUCCCAGCUACUCAGGAGGCUGACGCUGGAGGAUCGCUUGAGCCCAGGAGUUCUGGGCUGUAGUGCACUAUGCCGAUCGGGUGUCCACACUAAGUUCGGCAUCAAUAUGGUAACCUCCCAGGAGCGGCAGACCACCAGGUUGCCUAAGGAGGGGUGAACCAGCCCAGGUCGGAAACAGAGCAGGUCAAAACUCCCAUGCUGAUCAGCAGUGGGAUCGCGCCUGUGAACAGCCACUGCACUCCAGCCUGGGCAACAUAGCAAGACCCCAUCUCU
Molecule: signal recognition particle RNA, 299 nt
Filed under: Aotus nancymaae (Ma's night monkey)
Lineage: Eukaryota; Metazoa; Chordata; Mammalia; Primates; Aotidae
Description: Metazoan signal recognition particle RNA (ENSANAG00000001450.1)
Rfam family: Metazoan signal recognition particle RNA
About the family: The signal recognition particle (SRP) is a universally conserved ribonucleoprotein. It is involved in the co-translational targeting of proteins to membranes. The eukaryotic SRP consists of a 300-nucleotide 7S RNA and six proteins: SRPs 72, 68, 54, 19, 14, and 9.
Source: RNAcentral